AUACAUGGCAAGUCGAGCGGACAGAAAGGGAGCUUGCUCCCGGAUGUUAGCGGCGGACGGGUGAGUAACACGUGGGUAACCUGCCUGUAAGACUGGGAUAACUCCGGGAAACCGGAGCUAAUACCGGAUAGUUCCUUGAACCGCAUGGUUCAAGGAUGAAAGACGGUUUCGGCUGUCACUUACAGAUGGACCCGCGGCGCAUUAGCUAGUUGGUGGGGUAAUGGCUCACCAAGGCGACGAUGCGUAGCCGACCUGAGAGGGUGAUCGGCCACACUGGGACUGAGACACGGCCCAGACUCCUACGGGAGGCAGCAGUAGGGAAUCUUCCGCAAUGGACGAAAGUCUGACGGAGCAACGCCGCGUGAGUGAUGAAGGUUUUCGGAUCGUAAAGCUCUGUUGUUAGGGAAGAACAAGUGCGAGAGUAACUGCUCGCACCUUGACGGUACCUAACCAGAAAGCCACGGCUAACUACGUGCCAGCAGCCGCGGUAAUACGUAGGUGGCAAGCGUUGUCCGGAAUUAUUGGGCGUAAAAGGGCUCGCAGGCGGUUUUCUUAAGUCUGAUGUGAAAGCCCCCCGGGCUCAACCSGGGGRAGGGUCMUUUGRAAACUGGGAAAAUUUGRKUGSCRAAAAAAGGAAAAAGGGRAAAUCCCMCGGGUKMCGGGGGAAAUGCCRWAAAKUUG
RNAcentral lists this ribosomal RNA (681 nucleotides) under Bacillus pumilus. Its description in RNAcentral is "partial 16S ribosomal RNA". It matches the Rfam family "Bacterial small subunit ribosomal RNA", at positions 51 to 698 of the family's 1533-position model. The record is from RNAcentral. Lineage: Bacteria; Bacillati; Bacillota; Bacilli; Caryophanales; Bacillaceae.